RNAcentral lists this ribosomal RNA (468 nucleotides) under uncultured bacterium. RNAcentral's name for it is "partial 16S ribosomal RNA". It matches the Rfam family "Bacterial small subunit ribosomal RNA", at positions 28 to 507 of the family's 1533-position model. The record is from RNAcentral.
GACGAACGCUGGCGGCGUGCUUAACACAUGCAAGUCGAACGGAAAGGCCCUGCUUUUGUGGGGUGCUCGAGUGGCGAACGGGUGAGUAACACGUGAGUAACCUGCCCUUGACUUUGGGAUAACUUCAGGAAACUGGGGCUAAUACCGGAUAGGAGCUCCUGCUGCAUGGUGGGGGUUGGAAAGUUUCGGCGGUUGGGGAUGGACUCGCGGCUUAUCAGCUUGUUGGUGGGGUAGUGGCUUACCAAGGCUUUGACGGGUAGCCGGCCUGAGAGGGUGACCGGCCACAUUGGGACUGAGAGACGGCCCAGACUCCUACGGGAGGCAGCAGUGGGGAAUAUGGCACAAUGGGCGGAAGCCUGAUGCAGCAACGCCGCGUGCGGGAUGACGGCCUUCGGGUUGUAAACCGCUUUCGCCUGUGACGAAGCGUGAGUGACGGUAAUGGGUAAAGAAGCACCGGCUAACUACGUG